RNAcentral lists this ribosomal RNA (474 nucleotides) under uncultured bacterium. RNAcentral describes it as "bacterial SSU rRNA". It matches the Rfam family "Bacterial small subunit ribosomal RNA", at positions 64 to 524 of the family's 1533-position model. The record is from RNAcentral.
GAUCGAAUCGUUGGGAGCUUGCUCCAAUGGUAAGCGGCGGACGGGUGAGUACACGUGGGCAAUCUGCCUGUAAGAUGGGAUACUUCGGGAAACCGGAGCUAAUACCGGAUAAUCCAUUUCCUCUCAUGAGGGAAUGCUGAAAGUCGGUUUCGGCUGACACUUACAGAUGGGCCCGCGGCGCAUAAGCUAGUUGGUGAGGUAACGGCUCAUCAAUGCGACGAUGCGUAUCCGACCUGAGAGGGUGAUCGGCCACUCUGGGACUGAGACACUGCCCAUACUCCUACGGGAGGCAGCAGUAUGGAAUCUUCCACAAUGGACGAAAUGUCUGAUGGAGCAUCGCCGCGUGAGCGAUGAAUGCCUUCGGGUCGUAAAGCUCUGUUGUUAUGGAAGAACAAGUACCGGAGUAACUGCCGGUACCUUGACGGUACCUAACCAGAAAGCCACGGCUAACUACGUGCCAUCAGCCGCGGUAAU